GUCGUCGUGGCCGAGUGGUUAAGGCGACAGACUUGAAAUCUGUUGGGCUCUGCCCGCACAGGUUCGAAUCCUUUCGGCAACG
This is a non-coding RNA of Ciona savignyi (Pacific transparent sea squirt), 82 nucleotides long. The record is from Rfam. NCBI's taxonomy places the organism in Eukaryota, Metazoa, Chordata, Ascidiacea, Phlebobranchia, Cionidae.